ACCAGACUCCUACGGGAGGCAGCAGUGGGGAAUAUUGCACAAUGGGGGAAACCCUGAUGCAGCGACGCCGCGUGAGUGAAGAAGUAUUUCGGUAUGUAAAGCUCUAUCAGCAGGGAAGAAAAUGACGGUACCUGACUAAGAAGCCCCGGCUAACUACGUGCCAGCAGCCGCGGUAAUACGUAGGGGGCAAGCGUUAUCCGGAUUUACUGGGUGUAAAGGGAGCGUAGACGGUGAUGCAAGUCAGAAGUGAAAGCCCGGGGCUCAACUCCGGGACUGCUUUUGAAACUGUGUAACUGGAGUGCAGGAGAGGUAAGCGGAAUUCCUAGUGUAGCGGUGAAAUGCGUAGAUAUUAGGAGGAACACCAGUGGCGAAGGCGGCUUACUGGACUGUAACUGACGUUGAGGCUCGAAAGCGUGGGGAGCAAACAGGAUUAGAUACCCUCGUAGG
This 447-nucleotide ribosomal RNA is filed under the name uncultured bacterium. Its description in RNAcentral is "bacterial SSU rRNA". It matches the Rfam family "Bacterial small subunit ribosomal RNA", at positions 330 to 794 of the family's 1533-position model. The record is from RNAcentral.